GCUGGGUACGGUGGCACAUACCUGUAAUCCCAGCAGCAUGGGAAGCUGAGAUGGGAGGAUUGCAAAUUCAAAGCCAGCCUCAGCCUCAGCAAGGCACUAAGCAACUCAGUGAGACCCCCGUCUCUA
RNAcentral lists this small RNA (126 nucleotides) under Marmota monax (woodchuck). Lineage: Eukaryota; Metazoa; Chordata; Mammalia; Rodentia; Sciuridae. The record is from RNAcentral.